This 76-nucleotide transfer RNA is filed under the name Gammaproteobacteria bacterium. Its description in RNAcentral is "tRNA-Thr". It matches the Rfam family "tRNA". Rfam says of the family: Transfer RNA (tRNA) molecules are approximately 80 nucleotides in length. Their secondary structure includes four short double-helical elements and three loops (D, anti-codon, and T loops). RNAcentral also lists the same sequence under 5 other names. The record is from RNAcentral. Lineage: Bacteria; Pseudomonadati; Pseudomonadota; Gammaproteobacteria.
GCCCACAUAGCUCUAGUGGUAGAGCGCACCCUUGGUAAGGGUGAGGUCAUCAGUUCGAAUCUGAUUGUGGGCACCA